GUGAACCGGGAUGAGCUCAAAUUUGAAAUCUGGCGUCUUUCAGGCGUCCGAGUUGUAAUCUAUAGAGGCGUUUUCCGCGCCGGACCGCGUCCAAGUCUCUUGGAAUAGAGUAUCAAAGAGGGUGACAAUCCCGUACUUGACGCGACAACCGGUGCUCUGUGAUACGUUCUCAACGAGUCGAGUUGUUUGGGAAUGCAGCUCUAAAUGGGUGGUAAAUUCCAUCUAAGGCUAAAUAUUGGCGAGAGACCGAUAGCGAACAAGUACCGUGAGGGAAAGAUGAAAAGCACUUUGGAAAGAGAGUUAAACAGCACGUGAAAUUGUUAAAAGGGAAACGAUUGAAGUCAGUCGUGUGAAAGGUAUUCAGCCGUCUCUGGCGGUGUAUUUGCCUUUCACGGGUCAACAUCAGUUUAGUCCGGUAGAAAAAGGCUGGAGGAAGGUGGCACCCUCGGGUGUGUUAUAGCCUCCUGUCAUAUGUGCCGGAUUAGACUGAGGAACGCAGCUUGCAGCAAUGCCGGGGUUCGCCCACGUACAAGCUUAGG
This 539-nucleotide ribosomal RNA is filed under the name Vishniacozyma tephrensis. Its description in RNAcentral is "partial large subunit ribosomal RNA". It matches the Rfam family "Eukaryotic large subunit ribosomal RNA", at positions 93 to 621 of the family's 3401-position model. Lineage: Eukaryota; Fungi; Basidiomycota; Tremellomycetes; Tremellales; Bulleribasidiaceae. The record is from RNAcentral.